This 88-nucleotide transfer RNA is filed under the name Metapseudomonas otitidis. Its description in RNAcentral is "Pseudomonas otitidis tRNA-Asp". The record is from RNAcentral. Lineage: Bacteria; Pseudomonadati; Pseudomonadota; Gammaproteobacteria; Pseudomonadales; Pseudomonadaceae.
CGGCCUUCCAGCUGGCGGGCCAGGGCGUCCUGGCUGUCGGCCUGGGUCAGCUCUAGGGUGGCCAGUUCGACGCCGGGCAGGGCGGCCA